Long non-coding RNA from Pseudopipra pipra, 868 nucleotides. RefSeq lists it as uncharacterized. The transcript is spliced from 4 exons. Lineage: Eukaryota; Metazoa; Chordata; Aves; Passeriformes; Pipridae. The record is from RefSeq and is a predicted model, not a curated record.
GUAGUUCUCCUUCAGAUGUCAAGUCCCUGCAAAAUGCAGGAUCUCGGCUUCCCGGUCCUUCAUUUCUGCCUUCCUCCUGCUCGCUCUGAACUCCGCCUUGUAUUUCAAGUAUCCUUCAUAUAUUUCUAUGUAAAGGUACAUAUUAUGCCUUCCCAUCUCUCACCCUAAGAUGCUAUUUAACCCUCUCCUCUGGGCUAAACCUGUAGGCUCCUCUGCCACCUCCACCACACGCACACCCCUAGCUCCAAGGGCGGGGGGAUCCAAGGACUCGGCGCCUAGCUACCCACGGGCACUACAGCCACCUCCCUCAGAAUUAGAUCAUCUUACGCUGAUUAAGAGAGUUCAAGACCAGCACGGCUUGACAGCCAGGUCUGCAUAAACAAGCCGAGGGAAUUUUUAAUAGCCCGUCGGAAAGCCGGCUUGCCGGGACCCGGGGCGGGGGCCCAAAGCACCCCGGAGUCGUUCACGGCGCUGACCAGGGGCUCGGCGGAGGAAGUCUGACUUCAGCCCCAAAGAGGAUCCCUCAUCUGCCGUGAACUGGAAUGCCAGGGGCGACAGAGAUGUGAAUUUUCUUCUGCUUCUUCAACCUCUCCCUCAACCAAGGACUUGAAGAGCAAGGAUAUCUCAGUUUUAUAUCCUCCUGCUAAAUGAGACUGCUGGCAAGGAUCCUUAGAGUCAUAUGGGACUGGACUGCUUAGUCGGAAGGGCCACGUCCCACACAACUUGACUCAGCUGCGGCAUUUAGAACAUGACCGACAAGACCCAGCUUCUUCCUCCUCUUUCACGAGCGGAGCCCCGCAGCCUCCGGCGGUUUUGAGGUAGGUAUCGGCGAAAGGAGAAGGGGAGGCCGGGCAGCAGCCAGCCUGGC